Molecule: non-coding RNA, 71 nt
Organism: Phrynosoma platyrhinos (Desert horned lizard)
Lineage: Eukaryota; Metazoa; Chordata; Lepidosauria; Squamata; Phrynosomatidae
Source: the annotation of a GenBank genome assembly
GCCAGUGGGGUGCAGUGGUUUGAGUGCUAGACUACAACUCUGGAGACCAAGGUUUGAUUCCCAGCUUGGCA